Molecule: ribosomal RNA, 375 nt
Filed under: uncultured organism
Description: partial 16S ribosomal RNA
Rfam family: Bacterial small subunit ribosomal RNA
Source: RNAcentral
GUAGGUGGCAAGCGUUGUCCGGAAUUAUUGGGCGUAAAGCGCGCGCAGGCGGUUCUUUAAGUCUGAUGUGAAAGCCCACGGCUCAACCGUGGAGGGUCAUUGGAAACUGGAGAACUUGAGUACAGAAGAGGAAAGCGGAAUUCCACGUGUAGCGGUGAAAUGCGUAGAGAUGUGGAGGAACACCAGUGGCGAAGGCGGCUUUUCUGGUCUGUAACUAACGCUGAGGCGCGAAAGCGUGGGGAGCAAGCAGGGAUUAGAUACCCUGGUAGUCCACGCCGUAAACGAUGAGUGCUAAGUGUUAGGGGGGUUUCCGCCCCCUUAGUGCUGCAGCUAACGCAUUAAGCACUCCGCCUGGGGAGUACGGCCGCAAGGCUG